Molecule: transfer RNA, 94 nt
Filed under: Gammaproteobacteria bacterium
Lineage: Bacteria; Pseudomonadati; Pseudomonadota; Gammaproteobacteria
Also listed under: 2 other names
Description: tRNA-Ser
Rfam family: tRNA
About the family: Transfer RNA (tRNA) molecules are approximately 80 nucleotides in length. Their secondary structure includes four short double-helical elements and three loops (D, anti-codon, and T loops).
Source: RNAcentral
GGAGAGAUGGCCGAGUCAGGCUGAAGGCAACCGCCUGCUAAGCGGUUGAACGGGUAAUGCCGUUCCGAGGGUUCGAAUCCCUCUCUCUCCGCCA